GAGGGUGUAACUCAGUGUUAGAGUGUAUGCUUGGCAAGCACAGGGUCCUGAGUUCAAUCCCCAGUAUUGCCA
RNAcentral lists this transfer RNA (72 nucleotides) under Camelus bactrianus (Bactrian camel). It matches the Rfam family "tRNA". From Rfam's summary of the family: Transfer RNA (tRNA) molecules are approximately 80 nucleotides in length. The record is from Rfam by way of RNAcentral. Lineage: Eukaryota; Metazoa; Chordata; Mammalia; Artiodactyla; Camelidae. RNAcentral also lists the same sequence under 2 other names.